RNAcentral lists this non-coding RNA (45 nucleotides) under Schistosoma margrebowiei. The record is from RNAcentral. Lineage: Eukaryota; Metazoa; Platyhelminthes; Trematoda; Strigeidida; Schistosomatidae.
GUCCAGCUGACAAAUCCCAAAUAGGACGAAACACACGUCCUGGAU